RNAcentral lists this small RNA (127 nucleotides) under Meriones unguiculatus (Mongolian gerbil). Its description in RNAcentral is "sRNA (ENSMUGG00000002348.1)". Lineage: Eukaryota; Metazoa; Chordata; Mammalia; Rodentia; Muridae. The record is from RNAcentral.
ACACAGCCAAGAUCUUUAUUUAGCUGCCCCGAAAUCCCACAGACCUGGACAGAGCUCCCGCACUGGUGUCCUUGCUGUGGAAGAGGACAAAAGCUCGUGAGCAGGCUUUGCCCCGGGAAGACAGCCA